Molecule: long non-coding RNA, 441 nt
Filed under: Olea europaea subsp. europaea
Lineage: Eukaryota; Viridiplantae; Streptophyta; Magnoliopsida; Lamiales; Oleaceae
Source: RNAcentral
CACUGCCUCGCUGCCUCAUUUUAUUUUUUUUAAUUUGAUCUACUAGUGGUCUAUAGUGGUCGACGGUGGCGAUGGCAGUUUGUGUGUGGGAUGGCACGAGUGAUGUGAUCUGAUAGUUUGUUUUCCAUUGUUGUGGUGGUUGGUUUCUGUCAAUGUGUUGGUGGUUUUGUGUUGCAACGGUGAGGGGUGGUCGGUGGUGUUGUGCUUGCUGUGGUGGUUUUGCCCGACGAUGGUGUUGCUAUCGGUGGUGUUGGUGGUUCUAGCAACGAUCGUGGCAGUGUUGGUGAUGGUCACAAAUUAAAUUGGUUAAUUGAGACCAUUAAAUUGAUUAAUCUGUGACCAAUGAAAAAUAUAAAUUUUGACAAAGAAAUAAUGUGUGACCUAAAAAAAUAUUUAUUUUAUGAUUGUCUAAUAAAUUGUGACCUAUAAUAUUUAUGAUCU